AGAAUGAACGUUGGCGGCGUGGAUUAGGCAUGCAAGUCGAGCGAGAACCGUAGCAAUACGGGGACAGCGGCGAAAGGGACAGUAAUGUGUAGAUCAUCUGCCCUCGGGAUCGGGAUAGCUGCGGGAAACUGCAGGUAAUACCGAAUAACAUCUCCGGAUCAAAUGGUGUGAUUCCGCCUGAGGAUGAGUCUACAUCCUAUUAGCUAGUUGGUGGGUAACGGCCUACCAAGGCUUUGAUGGGUAGCGGGUGUGAGAGCACGACCCGCGUCACUGGGACUGAGACACUGCCCAGACACCGUACGGGUGGCUGCAGUCGAGAAUCUUCGGCAAAGUGGACGCAAGUCUGACCGAGCGACGCGCGUGCGGAUGAAGGUCCGUUCGGGUUGUAAACCGCUGUCGAGGAGGGAGUAAAGUUCGGUGGUUCUCCCACGCAUUCGACCUAGCCUCAGAGGAAGUCGGAGUAACGUCGCGCCAGCAG
Molecule: ribosomal RNA, 478 nt
Filed under: uncultured soil bacterium
Lineage: Bacteria
Description: bacterial SSU rRNA
Rfam family: Bacterial small subunit ribosomal RNA
Source: RNAcentral